AGCGAACGCUAGCGGCAGGCUUAACACAUGCAAGUCGAACGAAGUUCUUCGGAACUUAGUGGCGAACGGGUGAGUAACACGUAGGUAAUGUACCCUUUGGUGGAGGAUAACUCAGGGAAACCUGAGCUAAUACUGCAUAUGUCCUUCGGGAUAAAAGUCUUCGGACGCCUUAGGAGCAGCCUGCGGCCCAUUAUCUAAUCCUAGUUGGUAGGGUAACGGCCUACCAAGGGUACGAUGGGUAGCUGGUCUGAGAGGAUGAUCAGCCACACUGGGACUGAGACACGGCCCAGACUCCUACGGGAGGCAGCAGUGGGGAAUAUUGCGCAAUGGGGGAAACCCUGACGCAGCCAUGCCGCGUGUGUGAUGAAGGCCCUCGGGUCGUAAAGCACUGUCGGGAGGGACGAAGAUCUGACGGUACCUCACAAGAAAGCACCGGCUAACUCCGUGCCAGCAGCCGCGGUAAUGUCACAUG
This 472-nucleotide ribosomal RNA is filed under the name uncultured bacterium. RNAcentral describes it as "bacterial SSU rRNA". It matches the Rfam family "Bacterial small subunit ribosomal RNA", at positions 29 to 531 of the family's 1533-position model. The record is from RNAcentral.